RNAcentral lists this transfer RNA (68 nucleotides) under Gonodactylellus sp. SIO BIC C12514. Its description in RNAcentral is "tRNA-Asp". Lineage: Eukaryota; Metazoa; Arthropoda; Malacostraca; Stomatopoda; Gonodactylidae. The record is from RNAcentral.
AAAAAAUUAGUUAAUUCAUAAUAUAAGCUUGUCAAGCUUAAGUAACUAAUUAAAUUUAGUAUUUUUUA